GGACUACCCGGGUUUCUAAUCCUGUUUGCUCCCCACGCUUUCGUGCCUGAACGUCGGUGCUGGACCAGGAAGCCGCUUUCGCCACUGGUGUUCCUUCCGAUAUCUACGCAUUUCACCGCUACACCGGAAAUUCCGCUUCCCUCUUCCGCACCCUAGCUAUGCAGUCUCGAAUGGCAUUCCCAGGUUGAGCCCGGGGCUUUCACACCCGACUUACAUAACCGUCUACGCACGCUUUACGCCCAGUAAUUCCGAUUAACGCUCGCACCCUCUGUAUUACCGCGGCUGCUGGCAC
RNAcentral lists this ribosomal RNA (292 nucleotides) under uncultured bacterium. Its description in RNAcentral is "partial 16S ribosomal RNA". The record is from RNAcentral.